This 552-nucleotide ribosomal RNA is filed under the name Salmonella enterica subsp. enterica. RNAcentral describes it as "bacterial SSU rRNA". It matches the Rfam family "Bacterial small subunit ribosomal RNA", at positions 993 to 1533 of the family's 1533-position model. Lineage: Bacteria; Pseudomonadati; Pseudomonadota; Gammaproteobacteria; Enterobacterales; Enterobacteriaceae. The record is from RNAcentral.
GAACUUUCCAGAGAUGGAUUGGUGCCUUCGGGAACUGUGAGACAGGUGCUGCAUGGCUGUCGUCAGCUCGUGUUGUGAAAUGUUGGGUUAAGUCCCGCAACGAGCGCAACCCUUAUCCUUUGUUGCCAGCGAUUAGGUCGGGAACUCAAAGGAGACUGCCAGUGAUAAACUGGAGGAAGGUGGGGAUGACGUCAAGUCAUCAUGGCCCUUACGACCAGGGCUACACACGUGCUACAAUGGCGCAUACAAAGAGAAGCGACCUCGCGAGAGCAAGCGGACCUCAUAAAGUGCGUCGUAGUCCGGAUUGGAGUCUGCAACUCGACUCCAUGAAGUCGGAAUCGCUAGUAAUCGUGGAUCAGAAUGCCACGGUGAAUACGUUCCCGGGCCUUGUACACACCGCCCGUCACACCAUGGGAGUGGGUUGCAAAAGAAGUAGGUAGCUUAACCUUCGGGAGGGCGCUUACCACUUUGUGAUUCAUGACUGGGGUGAAGUCGUAACAAGGUAACCGUAGGGGAACCUGCGGUUGGAUCACCUCCUUACCUGAAAGAAGC